Molecule: ribosomal RNA, 449 nt
Filed under: uncultured bacterium
Lineage: Bacteria
Description: partial 16S ribosomal RNA
Rfam family: Bacterial small subunit ribosomal RNA
Source: RNAcentral
AACGAACGCUGGCGGCAUGCCUAACACAUGCAAGUCGAACGAAGCCUUCGGGCUUAGUGGCGCACGGGUGCGUAACGCGUGGGAAUCUGCCCUUGGGUUCGGAAUAACAGUUAGAAAUGACUGCUAAUACCGGAUGAUGUCUUCGGACCAAAGAUUUAUCGCCCAAGGAUGAGCCCGCGUCGGAUUAGCUAGUUGGUGAGGUAAAGGCUCACCAAGGCGACGAUCCGUAGCUGGUCUGAGAGGAUGAUCAGCCACACUGGGACUGAGACACGGCCCAGACUCCUACGGGAGGCAGCAGUGGGGAAUAUUGGACAAUGGGCGAAAGCCUGAUCCAGCAAUGCCGCGUGAGUGAUGAAGGCCUUAGGGUUGUAAAGCUCUUUUACCCGGGAUGAUAAUGACAGUACCGGGAGAAUAAGCCCCGGCUAACUCCGUGCCAGCAGCCGCGGUAA